GAAACAGCAGCAGCUGGAAGUCAAGAGGAGUGCUCUGUGGAGGAACACACCCACAGGCACCAGCAUGCCGGCAGGCCACUGACUGGCAAAACAACGCGGUGUUUGGCUGGGGCAGUCGGAGGAGCGCUCGGGCCGCCAAGCAGACCGACUCCAGGGAAAACCAUCUCCCUUCUGGCUCCCCCAUCUGCUAAGAGCCAUGUAAGAUAUGCCUGCUUCCCCUUUGCCUUCUGCCGUGAUUGAAAGCUUCCUGAGGCCUCCCCAGAAGGCAAGCAGAUGCCAACAUCAUGCUUCCUGUACAGCCUGUGGAACUGCCCUCCCCUCUGCUUCUCACUGGUCCUGAGUGUGUCCUGGAAUAACAUGUGGGCUGUGCUAUCCGGUGUUGUGUGUGUCACAGAUGCAAUUCAAAAUCCUAAGGCUGGAAAACCAUUACUUAAAAAAAAAAAAAAAAAAAGACUAGCCAGCCUGCUUUCUGAGCAUCUACUUGAUAGCAAGAGGGCCUCAUGCUCAACCCCUCCGUGCUGGGAAGGAAGCAUUCCCCUCAUCAAGGACUGCGGCUCUCUGGAAUAAGCAACGUGUGUUCCCUCUUGGGGGUCAGCCAAGGCCCUGAACAUCACAAACUCCUCCUCCACCUC
Molecule: long non-coding RNA, 632 nt
Filed under: Homo sapiens (human)
Lineage: Eukaryota; Metazoa; Chordata; Mammalia; Primates; Hominidae
Description: novel transcript
Source: RNAcentral